Molecule: ribosomal RNA, 534 nt
Filed under: uncultured Nocardioides sp.
Lineage: Bacteria; Bacillati; Actinomycetota; Actinomycetes; Propionibacteriales; Nocardioidaceae
Description: bacterial SSU rRNA
Rfam family: Bacterial small subunit ribosomal RNA
Source: RNAcentral
GUGCCAGCCGCGGCGGUAAUACGUAGGGUGCGAGCGUUGUCCGGAAUUAUUGGGCGUAAAGGGCUCGUAGGCGGUUUGUCGCGUCGGGAGUGAAACACCGGGCUUAACUCGGUGCUUGCUUUCGAUACGGGCAGACUAGAGGCAUGCAGGGGAGAACGGAAUUCCUGGUGUAGCGGUGAAAUGCGCAGAUAUCAGGAGGAACACCGGUGGCGAAGGCGGUUCUCUGGGCAUGUCCUGACGCUGAGGAGCGAAAGUGUGGGGAGCGAACAGGAUUAGAUACCCUGGUAGUCCACACCGUAAACGUUGGCGCUAGGUGUGGGCCUAUUCCAUGGGUUCCGUGCCGCAGCUAACGCAUUAAGCGCCCCGCCUGGGGAGUACGGCCGCAAGGCUAAAACUCAAAGGAAUUGACGGGGCCCGCACAAGCGGCGGAGCAUGCGGAUUAAUUCGAUGCAACGCGAAGAACCUUACCUGGGUUUGACAUACACCCUGCCGCUGCAGAGAUGUGGUUUCUUUGGGGUGUACGAGGUGGUGCAU